GGCCUGUCUUGCGCCUGGGGCCCCUUCUCACAGCCCGAGCGUCUGAGACUGAAUGCGGCACCCUGAGGAGGAUCAGUCUCUUCUGAUGCUUCUCUCGUUUUCCUCUAAAGGGUGAGAGCUUCGGGAAAGGAUCUGAUCCUGGAGGAACCUCCGGUCAUGGAGAUAAAGACUCUGGAACUGAGUCCGUCGGAGAGAAACGAGAUGAGACUCCUUGGAUUAGAGACCAUCCCAAGGGCAUCUUUGGGAGCCAUGAGCUGCAGAUGGCCAAGCCACAGAUGGAAGGAGCUUCAUCUCUUGGGUCACCACUGGAGAACAAAUUCUUCCAAUGGAUUUGGAGAAGUCUUCUCAGAUAUCCACUUCUGAGUUCCAUUUGUAAUCCACUUCUUUUAUUCUCCCAGCACUCAGUGUCGUUUGGGGGAAAUUCUAGAUUCUUGUAAUAUCUUGGUCAUGGGUAAAUAAGGAAGGGGCCUUUACACACACAUGAGACAAACCAGAUCAGGAUGAGCAAAGCAGCCUGAGAGCAGCAAGACCCCAAAGGGUAAGGAAAGUCCUGCAGAAGAGCAGAGCGGUGGUACAGAGGGAGGUGGGCAGUGCCUUCAGGAUGGAUCCUCAGGGAAUGCCAGCAUCCACCAAGCACUGGCAGAAUGGUUUAGAGAAACCGAUAAAAAGCUCUGCCAAUCACAGUCACAAAAGAUGGGGCUCAGAAUGAUGGGUAAAUCAGGGAUUCACAUCUCCAUUUUAUUGAUGAAAAAAUUCGGGGUGAUAGUAAAAUGUUUGCCUUUGUACCUAGCACAGUAUAUGGUUCGUAGUACAUGCACAAUAAAUAUUUGUAGAAUGAA
Cynocephalus volans (Philippine flying lemur) is the source of this 839-nucleotide long non-coding RNA. RefSeq lists it as uncharacterized. The record is from RefSeq and is a predicted model, not a curated record. NCBI's taxonomy places the organism in Eukaryota, Metazoa, Chordata, Mammalia, Dermoptera, Cynocephalidae. The transcript has 2 exons.